RNAcentral lists this small RNA (542 nucleotides) under Pongo abelii (Sumatran orangutan). Its description in RNAcentral is "retained intron". The record is from RNAcentral. Lineage: Eukaryota; Metazoa; Chordata; Mammalia; Primates; Hominidae.
UAAAGCCUAUUGGCUCUGGGGCUCAGGGCAUAGUUUGUGCCGCGUAUGAUGCUGUCCUUGACAGAAAUGUGGCCAUUAAGAAGCUCAGCAGACCCUUUCAGAACCAAACACAUGCCAAGAGAGCGUACCGGGAGCUGGUCCUCAUGAAGUGUGUGAACCAUAAAAACAUUAUUAGUUUAUUAAAUGUCUUCACACCCCAGAAAACGCUGGAGGAGUUCCAAGAUGUGUAAGUAACAAAACUCAUGAAGGAAGGGAGAGCACAGCACUCAGAUAGCCCAAGGAAAUAUCACACACACACACACACACAAACACACACACACACACACACACACACAGAGUUGAAAUCCCUUGUACUGCUCAAAGAGAGGUAAGAGUUGGGGUCAAAUGAAAGCAGUCCAGUGAUAGGUAAAGAAGAUUCUGUUUGUGGGGUUACUUCCUGAAAAGACAUUCUGCCUCCUUUUGGCCUUGUGGCUUUAUAUACUUUGUUGUUCCACGCUCUUGGUCACUCAGGUAAGGCUUAUUUAUUUAUGAUUAUUAAUAGA